RNAcentral lists this long non-coding RNA (298 nucleotides) under Elaeis guineensis (African oil palm). RNAcentral's name for it is "long non-coding RNA (EGUI_LNC013057)". The record is from RNAcentral. Lineage: Eukaryota; Viridiplantae; Streptophyta; Magnoliopsida; Arecales; Arecaceae.
UAUCCGAGCUCCGUUUCAGAUGAUCUUGUUCUCGUUGUACUCCAUUUUUCACCGCGAACCUCGCUGUGGGCUCAAUAUGGGCUGAAUCUCGAGGCAUCAAAUCCUAACAUAACUAUCCACGCAAAGAUGAAGAUGAGAUCUUCAUAUUUUUGUUUGAUAAUUUUAUUUGCUACCUUAGAUCCUAAGAGCAUAAUAGGGUUGAUCUCAUGAGAUGAGAUCUAGUAGAUGAAUGUUAGAUUAAUUUACUUCCGCUGCAUGUAUAAAAAUUUUUGUUAUUCUAGCAUAUAUACCCUGCACC